Molecule: ribosomal RNA, 659 nt
Filed under: uncultured Lachnospiraceae bacterium
Lineage: Bacteria; Bacillati; Bacillota; Clostridia; Lachnospirales; Lachnospiraceae
Description: bacterial SSU rRNA
Rfam family: Bacterial small subunit ribosomal RNA
Source: RNAcentral
ACAUGCAAGUCGAACGAGAGAUGAGGAGCUUGCUUCCUCAAUCGAGUGGCGAACGGGUGAGUAACGCGUGAGGAACCUGCCUCAAAGAGGGGGACAACAGUUGGAAACGACUGCUAAUACCGCAUAAGCCCACAGCUCGGCAUCGAGCAGAGGGAAAAGGAGCAAUCCGCUUUGAGAUGGCCUCGCGUCCGAUUAGCUAGUUGGUGAGGUAACGGCCCACCAAGGCGACGAUCGGUAGCCGGACUGAGAGGUUGAACGGCCACAUUGGGACUGAGACACGGCCCAGACUCCUACGGGAGGCAGCAGUGGGGAAUAUUGCACAAUGGGGGAAACCCUGAUGCAGCGACGCCGCGUGGAGGAAGAAGGUCUUCGGAUUGUAAACUCCUGUUGUUGGGGAAGAUAAUGACGGUACCCAACAAGGAAGUGACGGCUAACUACGUGCCAGCAGCCGCGGUAAAACGUAGGUCACAAGCGCUGUCCGGAAUUACUGGGUGUAAAGGGAGCGCAGGCGGGAAGACAAGUUGGAAGUGAAAUCUAUGGGCUCAACCCAUAAACUGCUUUCAAAACUGUUUUUCUUGAGUAGUGCAGAGGUAGGCGGAAUUCCCGGUGUAGCGGUGGAAUGCGUAGAUAUCGGGAGGAACACCAGUGGCGAAGGCGGC